UUUAACGGAGAGUUUGAUCCUGGCUCAGGACGAACGCUGGCGGCGUGCCUAAUACAUGCAAGUCGAGCGGACAGAAGGGAGCUUGCUCCCGGACGUUAGCGGCGGACGGGUGAGUAACACGUAGGUAACCUGCCCCUUAGACUGGGAUAACUCCGGGAAACCGGAGCUAAUACGGGAUAAUAAAGAGAAUCACCUGAUUUUCUUUUGAAAGACGGUUUCGGCUGUCACUAAGGGAUGGGCCUGCGGCGCAUUAGCUAGUUGGUAAGGUAACGGCUUACCAAGGCGAC
This is a ribosomal RNA of 287 nucleotides. It matches the Rfam family "Bacterial small subunit ribosomal RNA", at positions 1 to 277 of the family's 1533-position model.